AUGGGGAUGGCGCAUGUCGCCGUCCUGGCGGCGGUGCUGGCCAUGGCGGCAACGGCGAGCGCCUCGCCGGAGGCGGGGGUCCAGCCGCUGUCCAAGAUCGCCAUCCACAAGGCCACCGUCGAGCUGCACGGCUCCGCGUACGUGCGCGCGAGUGCGCUGCUGCUCGGCGACGGCGACCAGCAGGAAGGAGACACUGCAACGGUCACUGUGGAAUACGGCUGGCAAAACCCCGCCACCGACGACUGGAUCGCCGUCUUCUCCCCCUCCGAUUUCAUCUCGGGCUCGUGCCCUAACCCACGGAGGUACCCCACCGAGCCGCUGCUCUGCACGGCGCCUAUCAAGUAUCAGUACGCCAACUUCUCGGCGAACUACCUCUACUGGGGCAAGGGCACCAUCCAGUUCCAGCUCAUCAACCAGCGCUCCGACUUCUCCUUCGCCCUCUUCACCGGCGGCCUCGAAAACCCGAAGCUGGUGGGGUUGACGAAGCUGUCGCCGUUCAAGAACCCCAAGGCGCCGGUGUUCCCGCGGCUGGCGCAGGGCAAGACCCACGACGAGAUGGCCGUGACCUGGACCAGCGGCUACGACGUCGGCGACGCCUACCCUUUCGUGGAGUGGGGCAUGGUCACCUCCGGCACCGGCGCCGGGAACCCCACCCGCUCCCCCGCCGGCACGCUAACCUUCAACCGCGGCAGCAUGUGCGGCGCGCCGGCGCGGACGAUCGGGUGGAGGGACCCGGGGUUCAUCCACACGGCGUUCAUGCGGGGCCUGUGGCCCAACAAGGAGUACUUCUACAAGAUCGGGCACGAGCUCCCCGACGGGACGGUGGUGUGGGGCAAGCCCUACACCUUCCGGGCGCCGCCGACGCCGGGGCAGAGCUCGCUGCAGCGCGUCAUCGUCUUCGGCGACAUGGGGAAGGCGGAGAGGGACGGGUCGAACGAGUACGCCAACUACCAGCCGGGGUCGCUCAACACGACGGACGCGCUGGUUAGAGACCUGGACAACUUCGACAUGGUCUUCCACAUCGGCGACCUGCCCUACGCCAACGGCUACAUCUCGCAGUGGGACCAGUUCACCGCGCAGGUCGCCCCCAUCAGCGCCCGGAAGCCCUACAUGAUCGCCAGCGGCAACCACGAGCGGGACUGGCCCGACACCGGCGGCUUCUUCGACGUCGAGGACUCCGGCGGCGAGUGCGGCGUGCUCGCCGAGACCAUGUACUACUACCCGGCCGAGAACCGAGCAAACUUCUGGUACAAGGUGGACUACGGGAUGUUCCGGUUCUGCGUGGCGGACUCGGAGCACGACUGGCGGGAGGGGACGCCGCAGCACAAGUUCAUUGAGGAGUGCCUCUCCACGGUGGACCGGAAGCACCAGCCAUGGCUCAUCUUCACGGCGCACCGUGUGCUCGGAUACUCCUCCAACAAGUGGUACGCUGAGCAGGGCUCCUUCGAGGAGCCCGAGGGGCGGGAGAGCCUGCAGAAGCUGUGGCAGCGGCACCGCGUCGACCUUGCCAUCUUCGGCCACGUGCACAACUACGAGCGCACCUGCCCGCUCUACCAGAACCAGUGCGUCACCGGCGAGCGGAGCCGCUACUCGGGCACCAUGAACGGGACCAUCUUCGUGGUGGCGGGCGGCGGCGGCAGCCACCUCAACGGCUACACCAGCGCCGUCCCCAAGUGGAGCGUGUUCAGGGAUAGAGACUACGGCUUCACCAAGCUCACGGCCUUCAACCACUCCUCGCUUCUGUUUGAGUACAAGAGGAGCAGUGAUGGCAAGGUGUAUGACAACUUCACCAUCCACAGGGACUACCGCGACGUGCUCGGCUGCGUGCACGACAGUUGCUUCCCCACCACCCUUGCUACCUGA
RNAcentral lists this ribosomal RNA (1863 nucleotides) under Triticum aestivum (bread wheat). RNAcentral's name for it is "partial small subunit ribosomal RNA". The record is from RNAcentral. Lineage: Eukaryota; Viridiplantae; Streptophyta; Magnoliopsida; Poales; Poaceae.